GAAGCAGUAUUUGAAGUUCGCACUAACUUUUUAACUCCACGUUUUCAGGACUAAGACGGUGGUUCACUGCUUACGGGGAACGUCGUCAUGGUAACGGCACACUUACCUUCAAGCUGAAGGAAUAAGACUCAAACCGUCUCCACACCACGACAAAGCGAGAGCCUGAUUGUGAGAUGACUGGAUUCAUUCUCAUCACAGAAAUAGAUUUAUUUUUUAUGAGGCUACUUCAUACGUCUUUUUUGCAAAUAACAUGAAGGGACUACUUUUGUAAUUUCCUUUUACAAUCCUGUGAUAUGAUGAUAGUCAAACUGAAUCUUAAAGAAGAAACUUUUGAAUGAGGAACCGUGCACCUCUUCAUCCAUCCAUGUGUGUGAUUGGUCACAUAAAGACAUUGUAAACACACCUCUGACAGCAGAUUGACCUGAGAAAUAGUGACAUUAUCAGACUGUUAAAGCUACAGAACCAGUGUUUUAAGUGAUUAAGGAAAGCUGAAACUUGCUCUUGUUUUGAGUCGUUUCGAUCAAAUUUGAAGGUCUGGGAAAGAAACUGAGCAUCUCUCAGAACAAGUCAUCAGACUGCAUGUCCAUAAACAGCAGCUGUAGUUGUUGUAACAGCUGAGUGCACGAAACUACAGCUCGCCUGCAGAAGUUCAAUGUCUUUCUGUGGAGCUGUUCUUCAGAUGGUUCAGUCAGACCUCAUGGGAAACCUGGACCAGAAGGCUUUUCACCCCUGGAGUGAUUUUAUUUAUAAUGAUGUGUAAUAAUGAUGUGGAGAUUUUUGUCACUUGCAGUCCUUAUUUCAUGUAGAAACAAACAACAAAGAACUAACAGAGGAAGACUUUAAAUCUUUUUAAUAUGAGAAUCCAAAAUUGGAAAAUAAAAUAUGAUUUAUUUUGUCAUUGUUUUGUGAAUCCAACUAAAUAAAUCAAACAACAGCCUGCUUUUGUAUUUCAGAUUUCUUCAGCAUCAAGGUAACACCCAGCAAAGGAAACCAUCCCAGUGACCCCCGGCUAUUCACAGUCCAAACUAUCCAGACAUGCACAUCCAUGAUGUGAAUGUCUUGUUCCAGCACAUCCCAAAGGUGCUCUGUUGGAUUGAGAUUUGGUGACUGUGGAGGCCGUUGGAGUGCAGUGACCUCAUUGUGAUGUUUAUUAAAGCAGUUUGAGAUGAUUUGAGCUUUGGGACAUGGAGUGUUGUCAGAAGAUGGUCCACUGUGGUCAUAAAGGGAUGGAGAUGGUCAGCAGCAGCACUCAGGGAGGCUGAGGUGUUUAAAUGAUGGGCCCAAAGUGUGCCAACAAAAGAUCCCCUACACCAUGACAUCGCCGUGAGCCUGAACCGUUGAUACAAGAGGCAGGAUGGAUCCAUGCUUUCAUGCUGUUGACACCAAAUUCUGAUCCUAACAUCUGAACAUUGCAGCAGAAAUCGAGACUCAUCAGAUCAGGCAGCGUUUCUCCAAUCUUCUAUUGUCUGACUUGGUGUGAAUAGUUUCUUCAGUUUCUUGUUCUCAGCUGACCGUAGUGGCACCUGGAGGUCUUCUGCUGCUGCAGCUCAUCUGCUUCCAGGUUGGACGUGUUGUCUGCUCAGAGAUGGUUUUCUGUAUAACUUUGGUUGGAACGAGUGUUUAUCUGAGUUCUGUUUCCUGACCUCUGGCAUCAACAAAGCGUUUCCAUCCAGAGAACUGCUGUCACUGGAUGUCUUCUCUUUUUCUGACCAUUCCUUGUCGACCCUGGAGAUGGUUGUGUUUGAAAAGCCUGGGAAACCAGCAGUCUCUGCAGUGGUCAGACCAGCCCUUCUGGUACCAACAACAGCUCAAAUCAAAUGUUCUUCCUCAUUCUGGUGCUUGGUUUGAACUUCAGCAGGUCCUCUUCACCAUGUCUACAUGCUUAAAUGCACUGAGUUGCUUCCAUGUGGUUGAUUGAUUAGAUGUUUGCUUUAAGGAGCUGUUAAACAUGUGUACCUAAUAAAAUGGCACUUUGUGGAAAGUUGCACCAA
Stegastes partitus (bicolor damselfish) is the source of this 1991-nucleotide long non-coding RNA. RefSeq lists it as uncharacterized. The record is from RefSeq and is a predicted model, not a curated record. Lineage: Eukaryota; Metazoa; Chordata; Actinopteri; Pomacentridae. The transcript is spliced from 3 exons.